RNAcentral lists this ribosomal RNA (301 nucleotides) under uncultured bacterium. RNAcentral describes it as "partial 16S ribosomal RNA". It matches the Rfam family "Bacterial small subunit ribosomal RNA", at positions 509 to 807 of the family's 1533-position model. The record is from RNAcentral.
CAGUCGCCGCGGGAAUACGAAGGGGGCUGGCGUUGUUCGGAUUUACUGGGCGUAAAGCGCACGUAGGCGGAAAUUUAAGUCAGGGGUGAAAUCCCGAGGCUCAACCUCGGAACUGCCUUUGAUACUGGGUUUCUUGAGUCCGGAAGAGGUGAGUGGAACUGCGAGUGUAGAGGUGAAAUUCGUAGAUAUUCGCAAGAACACCAGUGGCGAAGGCGGCUCACUGGUCCGGAACUGACGCUGAGGUGCGAAAGCGUGGGGAGCAAACAGGAUUAGAUACCCCUGUAGUCCCUGUCUCUUAUAC